This 492-nucleotide ribosomal RNA is filed under the name uncultured bacterium. RNAcentral's name for it is "partial 16S ribosomal RNA". It matches the Rfam family "Bacterial small subunit ribosomal RNA", at positions 29 to 507 of the family's 1533-position model. The record is from RNAcentral.
AGUGAACGCUGGCGGUAGGCCUAACACAUGCAAGUCGAACGGCAGCACAGUAAGAGCUUGCUCUUACGGGUGGCGAGUGGCGGACGGGUGAGGAAUACAUCGGAAUCUACUUUUUCGUGGGGGAUAACGUAGGGAAACUUACGCUAAUACCGCAUACGACCUACGGGUGAAAGCAGGGGAUCUUCGGACCUUGCGCGAUUGAAUGAGCCGAUGUCGGAUUAGCUAGUUGGCGGGGUAAAGGCCCACCAAGGCGACGAUCCGUAGCUGGUCUGAGAGGAUGUUCAGCCACACUGGAACUGAGACACGGUCCAGACUCCUACGGGAGGCAGCGGUGGGGAAUAUUGGACAAUGGGCGCAAGCCUGAUCCAGCCAUACCGCGUGGGUGAAGAAGGCCUUCGGGUUGUAAAGCCCUUUUGUUGGGAAAGAAAAGCAGCAGGUUAAUACCCCGCUGUUCUGACGGUACCCAAAGAAUAAGCACCGGCUAACUUCGUG